This is a long non-coding RNA of Nycticebus coucang (slow loris), 1853 nucleotides long. RefSeq lists it as uncharacterized. The record is from RefSeq and is a predicted model, not a curated record. NCBI's taxonomy places the organism in Eukaryota, Metazoa, Chordata, Mammalia, Primates, Lorisidae. The transcript is spliced from 5 exons.
UGCAGAGACGCCGGAAGAGCGAGGGCUGAGCGCACGUUGCCUACUUGGCCGCGGGCCUGGGAAGUGGGGAGAGAGUUAGGAGCUUGGGGUGGGGGUGGAUCCCAGGGAAGCCCCCUUUCCUCCUCCCAAACCCAUCAGGGACCCGGGAUUUGCUGCAGGAGGCGCGGGGCCCACUGUCCCCGGCUGGGCCUCGGCAGGGAUGGGCGGGCAGGAGGCGGAGCACUGCGCGGGGCUGGCGGGAAAGGGGCGGAGAGGAUAACUAGGGCUCUGGCGGGUUGAGGGACAGUGGUAGAACCUGUGGGCUAGUUAGGCUGCUCGCCACCUGGGACGAAGGGGAACGAGGACCGCCGCUUUAAGGGAGCGAGAAGGCACAUGCAGUCCCGGGGUCGGACUGCAGCCAUCUCUUCCAGCGGGAGAUGGCAUACCGGCGGGCGCACCCGCGGCAGCGACUAUCCUGCGCGCAGAAGCUGAACACCGGUGGGGCUUUGAGGACUGCGACCUUCUGCCCCAUAGUCUACGUGGUGUGUGCCAGUCGUCCUGUUCUUCACAGUCCAAGUCUAGCAACCAUCCGGACGCCGCUCCUGCCUGAAGACUGUAGGGACCAAGGGAGAGGGAGAGCGGUGGUAGGACUGUCCAGGGCGUAUGCUGGGAAGGCUGGAGUUGCUGGAGUAUUGUUUGCCGGGGCUGGUGCCUGUGUCUAGGUGCUUCCUCACGCUUUCAGGGGCAGAAUGGGGAUUGGGGGGAGAGAACGGGUUUGCUGAACUUAGUCUGAGAGCUGACUGUGCACAUGCCCUUGGCGACUUGUGCACGUUUGGACAACGGUUUAAUAGAAACACUUGGGAGCAGCAUCGGUCUCUGGAGGGUCCCCAAAGACCCUCUUGGGAUGGUACAGCAUGUGUUCGGGUUUGGGAGGGAAGGAAGGGUGUUGUGUGUGAAUGUCCUUCCUAGGGAGGAGAGUGUCUCAAGGAGAUUCGAUUUUCUUCGAUUUGCUGCAAUUCCAUAAGCCAAAUCAGGCUUUCAAGGCUUUAAAGUAAAUUACGGAAUUCUUAAUUACCUGAUUAACAGAAUGAUGAAGUUGUCUUCUAAUUUUCAAGGACAGGUCUUGAAAUGGCUGUGGCAGUGUAGAAGCCAAAAUGUGAGCUUCCAGAAGUGGUUUCUGAAAAAUAAAGAGUUGAAUGUACACGACUAAGCAGGCACAGGAAUCUGAAAAACCACAGGAGUGAUGAUAGGCAGAUCCCACCAGCCAGAGAUGCCUGGAGUCCUAUCUUCCCAGACUCACGGUGCCCAGAUGCAAGGAAGCUGUUACUCGGCCGCCAUCUUGCUCCUCCUCUAUUUCUUCAUUUUAAAUUCCAAGUGUUAACUUGCUCACCAGGCUCCAUGGCUCCCUCCCACUGCCUCGUGUCCUCUGCGCCUCCGCUGCCCGCAGCCCAUCCCGGCUUGGACUGCCCACCGCGCCACCUGAACCAUUUCAUUUUUAAGGAGCAGUUCUGUUGUUAACUUUUGUUUGAAGCUUCAGAAGACUUGGAAAUUGCUGAGAGCCCCAGGGCUAGCAGAGGCCCUGAGUUCUAGUGUUGGCUGUGCUUCCAUUUGUCUUAGGAGGGAAUUCUUGUUUCCUCAUCCUGAAAAUGGGGACAUUGAAAUAGUUGAAUCCUGGGCAGCACCUGUGGCUCAGUAGGUUGGGUGCCCACCCCAUAUACCCAGGGUGGUGGGUUUGAACCCGGUCCCAGCCAAACUGCAACAAAAAUAGCCAGGCAUUGUGGUGGGUGCCCUGUGGUCCCAGCUACUCGGGAGGCUGAGGCAAGAGAAUCGCGUAAGCCAAAGAGCUGUAGGUUGCUGUGAGCUGUGACUUGACA